This 1003-nucleotide long non-coding RNA is filed under the name Nicotiana benthamiana. RNAcentral's name for it is "long non-coding RNA (NBEN_LNC039027)". The record is from RNAcentral. Lineage: Eukaryota; Viridiplantae; Streptophyta; Magnoliopsida; Solanales; Solanaceae.
CCCAAGAACAAAAAAUAAAACGGGCUCAGAUAUUUACAACUCAAUCAACAAAUCAUCAUAGCCCAACUCCCACAUAUACAAUGUAUACCAGAAAAUACAAUAAAUAUACAAUGUAUAUACAAUGUAUACAAUCAUUUAUGCUUAGGUUUGGAAGCCAUAUGUAUACCAAAAAAUACAAUAAAUAUACAAUGUAUAAAAUCAUUUAUGAGGUUUGGAAGCCAUGUAGUCUUUCAUCUCAACACCCCCCCCCCAAGUUGGAGGGGGUAACCACCUACAACUUGGAUAACAGCGGAUGAAGCACAGUGCCAGGUAAUGGCUUAGUGAGCAGGUCAGCCAGUUGACGAGAAGUAGGAACAUGAAGCAGCUUGAGAAAACAACUUGGAUAACAGCGGAUGAAGCACAGUGCCAGGUAAUGGCUUAGUGAGCAGGUCAGCUAGUUGAUGAGAAGUAGGAACAUGAAACAGCUGGAGAAAACUAUUUUGUAGCUGAUUCCGAACAAAAUGGCAGUCCACAUCGAUCUGUUUGGUACGCUCAUAAAAAACAGGAUUGUUAACUAUAUGGACAGCAGCCUGGCUGUCACAAUACACAGAAAAUGGAAGACAAACAGAUACUCCAAGAUCAACCAAUAAACGAGAUAGCCAAGAUAAUUCAGCAACAACUUUGCUGAGGGCUCUAUAUUCUGCCUCAACAGAAGACAAAGAAACAACAGGCUGCUUUUUAGAUUUCCAACUAAUCAGGCAACCACCCAAUAGCACACAAAAUCCAGUAACAGAUCUCCUAGUAUCAGGGCAUGCAGCCCAGUCACUAUCAGAUCAGGCAACCACCCAAUAGCACACAAAAUCCAGUAACAGAUCUCCUAGUAUCAGGGCAUGUAACCCAGUCACUAUCAGAAUAACCAACAACAGAGAAAUCAUCACAGGCAUAAUAAAAGAGACCCAUCGAAGGAGUGCCUUUAAGGUAUCUCAAAACAUGUAGGGCAGCAGUCAUAUGGGGAAGUCUGGGG